AUGGAGAUGGAGAGCGCUCACCGCGACGACGACCUCUCGCCGGAGGCGGCGAGGAUGCUCCGCGAGAUGGCGCUGCGGGGUCGCGAGGAGGGAGUGGAGCCCGAUCUGUCGGACGAGCAGCUGCGCUCCAACGACCAGCUCCAGCAAGACGAGAUGUUAGCUCUGGAGGCAAUUUUUGGAGACAAGAUCUGCAUUUUUGGUGAAAAGGCUGGACCGCGAUCUUUCCAGAUUCAGGUGCAUUGUGAAAUUCCAGAUGGCAUCAGUGUAUCCGUAGAACCAUUCCAGGGUGUUGAUGAUGAUGACCCAAAGAGCCAGUUCCUUGAAAACUUCAGUGUCUCCUCCCUUUGUCACAUGCUCGACUCGAUGUGGGCGCAACAAGCUGAACAGGAAGUUGUUUAUGAGUGGGUGCAUUGGCUGCAGAGCUCUAUGCUUUCUCAUCUUGGUUUUGACAACGGAAUAGUCAUACGACAGCCUCAUACUGCGGUUGGUCCUGUGGAUCUUCGGGUUGUGGGAGAGAUUUUGUCUGCAGAGUCUGUCGUUCAACAGUUGAUCGGCUACAAUGAGGAGCAAUGCCAUGAAUCCUUUCUCCACGGGCUUCAUGCCUGCAUGAUUUGCUUCAGCGAGUACCCAGCUUGCCUGUUAGACAAGGAUAAAGCCGGAUGCUCCAAUUGCCUCUUUAACUUCUGCACCCGCUGCAGAGAGCCUUGUCACACAGGGAGGAGCUGUGUUAUUCUUACUCCAGAAGAAAAACUUCUCACCUUACAGGAACAGUCAAGGGUGCGCCAAUGGAGCAAAGGCGACAUUGACAGACGAAUCAACUUGGCAAAUGAAAUAUUUAGCAUCAAGGAAGUCCUCCGUUCUUCCGUUCCAUGUCCUCAUUGUGGUAUUGCCUUCAUACGUGUGUCUGGCUGCAACCACAUGUUUUGCAGAAACUGUCACCGUGAAUUCAACUACUUAAAUGCUAGGAGGACAGAGACUGUAAGGGCACUUGAUUUCAUUACAGUGAAUGCGGUGCAGAUUGAACGAAAAGUACUGAGCCUAUCCGUCAGCUCCAGACAGUAUCCAUGCCCAAAAUGCCACCGACCAUAUCCCAAGAUGGGAAACAACAACCACAUCUUGUGCCUGGCAUGUCAGGUUCAUUACUGUGCUCUGUGUCGGAAGGUGGUGCGGAAGAUCUCAGAGCACUAUGGCCCCAGAGGAUGCAAGCAGCACACUGUCGACCCUGAGAUUGUUAGAACAAAGAACAAGGAUGACUCGGGAUCAGAACUUCUGUGA
Molecule: ribosomal RNA, 1275 nt
Filed under: Triticum aestivum (bread wheat)
Lineage: Eukaryota; Viridiplantae; Streptophyta; Magnoliopsida; Poales; Poaceae
Description: partial small subunit ribosomal RNA
Source: RNAcentral